GAUCAUGGCUCAGGACGAACGCUGGCGGCGCGCCUAACACAUGCAAGUCGAACGGAGUUAUUUUUGACAGAAGCCUUCGGGCGGACGUUGAUAUAACUUAGUGGCGAACGGGUGAGUAACACGUGAGCAACCUGCCCUUCAGAGGGGGACAACAGUUGGAAACGACUGCUAAUACCGCAUAAGACCACGGUGUGGCAUCACACAGAGGUCAAAGGAGAAAUCCGCUGAAGGAUGGGCUCGCGU
This 243-nucleotide ribosomal RNA is filed under the name uncultured bacterium. Its description in RNAcentral is "partial 16S ribosomal RNA". It matches the Rfam family "Bacterial small subunit ribosomal RNA", at positions 15 to 236 of the family's 1533-position model. The record is from RNAcentral.